Molecule: ribosomal RNA, 775 nt
Filed under: uncultured Neocallimastigales
Lineage: Eukaryota; Fungi; Neocallimastigomycota; Neocallimastigomycetes; Neocallimastigales
Description: partial large subunit ribosomal RNA
Rfam family: Eukaryotic large subunit ribosomal RNA
Source: RNAcentral
UAUGUGAUCGUCUCUCGCAUAUCAAUAAGCGGAGGAAAAGAAACUAACAAGGAUUCCCCUAGUAACUGGCGAGUGAAGCGGGAAGAGCUCAAGUUUGAAAUCUUAAAGGUUUUCCCUUGACGAAUUGUAGUUUAAAGAAGUGUUUUCUGUUGAAGUUUUGGUAAAAGUUCUUUGGAAUAGGACAUCAUAGAGGGUGAGAAUCCCGUAUUUGACCUUUACUUUCAACUUUGUGAUACACUUUCAAAGAGUCGGAUUGUUUGGGAAUGCAGUCCAAAAUGGGUGGUAAAUUUCAUCUAAAGCUAAAUAUUGGCGAGAGACCGAUAGCGAACAAGUACCGUGAGGGAAAGAUGAAAAGAACUUUGAAAAGAGAGUUAAACAGUACGUGAAAUUGUCAAAAGGGAAGCGUUUGACACCAGUGUUGUUUUUCUGAAAAUCAAUUAAAGAACUGUUUAUGCUAAGUUGUUUAGACUUUAUCAGCUAACUGUUUAGUUUUGAGCUUUUCUUUAAUGCACUUUUCAGUUAACAAGUCAACAUCAAUUUCUUUUGCUGUAAAAAAGCUUGAGGAAGGUGGCUUGAGAUUCGUCUUAAGUGUUUAUAGCCUCUUGCCUAUGCAGUCGGAGAGAUUGAGGUCUGCAGCGUAGAUCCUUCGGGGCUAAAUGCAUUUGUGCUAAGUUAUAGCAUUUUAUAGACAACUUGUUGACUAUGAUUUGUCUUGUAGCUUACUCGCUUAUGUUAUUUUACCUACGCUUAGGAUGUUGAGUCAUCACACAUCUCU